Long non-coding RNA from Pan troglodytes (chimpanzee), 2615 nucleotides. RefSeq lists it as uncharacterized. The transcript has 2 exons. NCBI's taxonomy places the organism in Eukaryota, Metazoa, Chordata, Mammalia, Primates, Hominidae. The record is from RefSeq and is a predicted model, not a curated record.
CUUAUCUAGGUUCUGGGAUCCUAACUUCUCUCAGCCUCAUCUUCGUCCACUGCCAGGUGGAGUUUCACUCUUGUUGCCCAGGCUGGAGUGCAAUGGAGUGAUCUCAGCUCACCUCACCUCAACCUCCGUCUCCAUGGUUCAAGCGAUUGUCCUGCCUCAGCCUCCCGAGUAGCUGGGAUUACAGGCAUGCAUCACCACGCCUGGCUAAUUGUUGUAUUUUUAGUAGAGACAGGGUUUCUCCAUGUUGGUCAGGUGGGUCUUGAACUCCCAAUCUCAGGUGAUCUGCCCGCCUCAGCCUCCCAAAGUGCUGGGAUUACAGGCAUGAGCCACCAUGCCUGGCCACAUCUGCAGUUUUCUAUACUCAAUAUCCUAUUUCACACUCUAUGCCUUUAUAAAUGCUGUUCCCUCUACCUGGAUUGCCUUUCUUCAGCUGGCUUGCCCAGAAAAUCCUCGGUCAUCCCAGCUCACAGAUCUCUUCCUCUGUGUUUGAAUAGAGUUAAUCCUAUGCUCCUUUCUGCUGCCACCAAAAUUUGCAUAUUGCUUACUCAUGACUCUCAGCACUUGGUUUUUACAGGUCUGAUAUCCACACUUGGUUUGUGGGCAAGAACUCUUCUAUUACUUCCUUUUUUCUAAGUGUAAUACAAUGCAUGGUGCACAUAGUAGGCACCUUUGGGCUUCCCCUCCACCACCCAGUUUUGGGUCCUACAUAAUAAAUGCGUGUAUGCUAGAAAGAUGAAAGAAUAGCUGGGGUUUCAACUCUGAGGCCAGGAUGGGAGUCAAAGGAAGGACAUAAUGGAAUUUCUUCACUGACAUUUGCUGUAGAUUGAUUGCAUGGAUUGAUCCCAAUUCAUGGCCUCCCUGUAUCCACACUUUUUGCAAUGAGACUUUGAAGCACCUCCCAUCAAGAAAUGGAGUCUAUUUCCCCACUAUGAAUCUAAGCUUCUCUUGUGACUUUGACCAAUAGAAUGUGAUGGAAGUGAUGGCAUGCAGGUCCCAGUCCUUACAACCUUUCUCUCACUCUCUUGGAACUCUGCCCAGCUGCCAUGUGAACAAGCCCAAGCUACUCUGUUGGAGGAUGAGAGACAUGUGGGUCAGAGACCUGCUGUCCUAGCUGAAUCCAUUCCAGACCAGCCCAAUCUAGCCAAUCUGCAACCCAAGUUUAGCCAGUCAAUUCCCAGAUAAACAGAACCAUCAAGCAGACCUAAGAACUUGUGAGCUGAGUAAAUCCCUGUUGUUCCAAGCCAUUGAUUUUUUGGGGGUGGGGCGGGGGGUGGUUUGUUAUGCAGCUAUAACAAAUACAUGAUCCAAUAUGAGCAGAAACCCAUUAUGCUGUUACUUAAUAAUUAACUGUGACCCUUGAUUGGAAAGAAGUUCCGAAUGGGGCAGUCAUUCUAGGGCCUUUAAUUUUCCUACUGGUAAAAUAAGGAGAGAAGGAGAAGAAAACAACACAAAGCUCUUACUCGUCCCACCAAGUUAUGGGUCUUAUGGUUGAGCUAGAACUUUUUUUUUUUUUUUUUUGAGACAGAGUCUUGCUCUGUCGCCCAGGCUGGAGUGCAGUGGUGCGAUCUCGGCUCACUGCAAGCUCUGCCUCCCAGGUUCAUGCCAUUCUCCUGCCUCAGCCUCCCGAGUAGCUGGGACUACAGGCGCCCACCACCAUGCCCGGCUAAUUUUUUGUAUUUUUAGUAGAGACGGGGUUUCACCAUGUUAGCCAGGAUGGUCUCGAUCUCCUGACUUUGUGAUCCGCCUGCCUUGGCCUCCCAAAGUGCUGGGAUUACAGGUGUAAGCCACCAUGCCCGGCCUGAGCUAGAACUCUUAACACCAAGUUGUCCAGUGUUUCUCAAACCAUAUCCCAGAGAGCUAUUCUAGGGAUAUUAUCAGAUGUUACCAGGAGGAAAAAGGAAGAUCUUUUGGCUAAACACUGACUUCAUGAAAGCAACUCAAAGUCUUUGAUGGAGCGAAGUGUCAGUGUCUUUAACAUGCUCAUUAUGUAUCCUAAAUUUGAGAAGGAGGACUUGAUGUUCAGUGCAUCUCAAACAUAUUUUCACUACAGUUCUAUGGGACACACUUUGGCAAAAAGCUUAAUUGGCAUAAGUAUCCUUCUGGUACAUCGAACCAAGCUAUGGCAUUCUUGAAAAGCAGUCAGUCAGCCAAGACCCAGGGCUGAGAAAUGUUUAUUUAGACAAGUGAUUGGAUUUUCAUUCUUGUAUUAACGGCUGGACCCGUAAGCUUACAUUUUCCAGUCCCACAGAACUUACACAAGAGUCAGCCCACCAGAAAUCAUAUCUUUCUCCUCUCCAGUCUCCAACCUAUUCUAAGCAAAACAUUUCAAGUUUCUUCAAUUACAUCUCACAAGGCUGGUCACAAACUCCCUUCAUCUACCUAGAUAGUCUCUUUUAUUUCUUUUUUUGUAAUUUGAGGAGAACCAUAACAAAAUUUAAGUACUCCAAGUAUGGUGUCAUCAUCUCCUUCAUUUAGAUCCCAGACCUCUGUUAAUAUGACCUAAAAAGGAUUUAGCUUCUGUGUACAUGUCAAUGCACUUUUGAUUUACAUUGAGUUUUCUUUGAACAAAAAAACCCGUGUAUUCAUUUAACUCAUUGAAGCGUUUGCAAAAUUCA